Molecule: ribosomal RNA, 646 nt
Filed under: Chondrus crispus (carragheen)
Lineage: Eukaryota; Rhodophyta; Florideophyceae; Gigartinales; Gigartinaceae
Description: bacterial LSU rRNA
Rfam family: Bacterial large subunit ribosomal RNA
Source: RNAcentral
GCUAAGGCCCCUAAAUAAUUGCUAAGUGAUAAAGGAAGUGGAAAUGUUUACACAACCAGGAGGUUUGCUUAUAAACAGCAAUCCUUUAAAGAGUGCGUAAUAUCUCACUGGUCUAAUGAUUCUGCGCCGAAAAUGAACGGGGCUAAUCAAUUUGCCGAAGCUGUGGGAUGUUAUUACAUCGGUAGGGGAGCGUUCUGUUAUAGAUUGAAGCACUAGCGUAAGCGGGUGUGGACUAAGCAGAAGUGAGAAUGUCGGCUUGAGUAGCGAAAACAUUGGUGAGAAUCCAAUGCCCCGAAAACCUAAAGGUUCCUUUGCGAGGUUCGUCCACGAAGGGUGAGUCAGGUCCUAAGGCAAGGCUGAAAAGCGUAGUCGAUGGGUAACAGGUUAAUAUUCCUGUACUAUUUUUUAUUGGUAACGAGGGACGGAGAAGGCUAAAUCAGCCGGAUGUUGGUUACUGGUUUAAAUUUUUGAAGGUGAUGAAAGAUGGCGAAAACAUCUUGAGCUAAAAAAUGAAUACAAGCCACUAAGGUGGUAAAGUGAUUGAUGUCAUACUUCCUAGAAAAGCUCGAAAUAUCUUAAAUAAAAAAUACCUGUACCCUAAACUGACACAAGUAGGUAAGUAGAGUAUACUAAGGGCGCGAGAUAA